ACUGCUCAGUAACACGUGGACAACCUACCCAAGAGUCAGGGUAUAACCCCGGGAAACUGGGGAUAAUACCUGAUAGGCCAUGACAUCUGGAAUUGAGUUGUGGUUUAAACGUAUAGGCUUUUGGAUGGGUCUGCGGCGGAUUAGGUUGUUGCCGGUGUAACGUACCAGCAAGCCUGUAAUCCGUACGGGUUGUGGGAGCAAGAGCCCGGAGAUGGAUUCUGAGACACGAAUCCAGGCCCUACGGGGCGCAGCAGGCGCGAAAACUCUACAAUGCAGGCAACUGCGAUAGGGGAACAUCGAGUGGCACCCACCAUGGGUGUCUGUCCAAUCGUCUAAAAAACGAUUGUCAGCAAGGGCCGGGCAAGACCGGUGCCAGCCGCCGCGGUAAUACCGGCGGCUCGAGUGGUGGCCGAUAUUAUUGAGUCUAAAGGGUCCGUAGCCGGCUUUGCAAGUCCCCUGGGAAAUCCAGCGGCUUAACCGUUGGGCUUUCAUGGGAUACUACAUUGCUUGGGACUGGGAGAGGUAGGAGGUACUCAGGGGGUAGGGGUGAAAUCCUGUAAUCCUUUGGGGACCACCGGUGGCGAAGGCGUCCUACCAGAACAGGUCCGACGGUGAGGGACGAAAGCUAGGGGCACGAACCGGAUUAGAUACCCGGGUAGUCCUAGCCGUAAACGAUGCUCGCUAGGUGUCACGGCAGUCGUGAAUUGUCGUGGUGCCGUAGGAAGCCGUGAAGCGAGCCACUUGGGAAGUACGACCGCAAGGUUGAAACUUAAAGGAUUGGCGGGGGGAGCAC
RNAcentral lists this ribosomal RNA (793 nucleotides) under uncultured archaeon. RNAcentral describes it as "bacterial SSU rRNA". It matches the Rfam family "Archaeal small subunit ribosomal RNA", at positions 85 to 879 of the family's 1478-position model. The record is from RNAcentral.